CAGUCGCCACGGGAAUACGAAGGGUGCAAGCGUUACUCGGAAUUACUGGGCGUAAAGCGUGCGUAGGUGGUGGUUUAAGUCCGUUGUGAAAGCCCUGGGCUCAACCUGGGAAUUGCAGUGGAUACUGGGUCACUAGAGUGUGGUAGAGGAUAGUGGAAUUUCCGGUGUAGCAGUGAAAUGUGUAGAGAUUGGAAGGAACAUCUGUGGCGAAGGCGACUAUCUGGGCCAACACUGACACUGAGGCACGAAAGCGUGGGGAGCAAACAGGAUUAGAUACCCCGGUAGUCCCUGUCUCUUAUAA
RNAcentral lists this ribosomal RNA (301 nucleotides) under uncultured bacterium. Its description in RNAcentral is "partial 16S ribosomal RNA". It matches the Rfam family "Bacterial small subunit ribosomal RNA", at positions 509 to 809 of the family's 1533-position model. The record is from RNAcentral.